AGUAAGGUAAGCUAAUGUAACCAAGCUACUGGGCCCAUACCCCAAUCAUGAAGGUUAAAAUCCUUCCCUUGCUA
Molecule: transfer RNA, 74 nt
Filed under: Hyphessobrycon herbertaxelrodi
Lineage: Eukaryota; Metazoa; Chordata; Actinopteri; Characiformes; Acestrorhamphidae
Description: tRNA-Met
Rfam family: tRNA
About the family: Transfer RNA (tRNA) molecules are approximately 80 nucleotides in length. Their secondary structure includes four short double-helical elements and three loops (D, anti-codon, and T loops). Further hydrogen bonds mediate the characteristic L-shaped molecular structure. tRNAs have two regions of fundamental functional importance: the anti-codon, which is responsible for specific mRNA codon recognition, and the 3' end, to which the tRNAs corresponding amino acid is attached (by aminoacyl-tRNA synthetases). tRNAs cope with the degeneracy of the genetic code in two manners: having more than one tRNA (with a specific anti-codon) for a particular amino acid; and 'wobble' base-pairing, i.e. permitting non-standard base-pairing at the 3rd anti-codon position.
Source: RNAcentral